AAAUGCCCCUAACCCUAAUUUUUGAAAAUAAAACCCUAACCCUAAAACCCUACCCGGUUACCCGUUGCAUCUCCUCAUGCCCCAGCAGCCAAACACACAGUUUUCCAACUGAAUGAAAGAAAGAAAGAACGGGUUAGGAGGAAACGGGAAGAAGCAGAGAGGGGGAGAGGGACAGAGAGCGGCGGUGUGAGAGGAAGAGAGGGACGAGGCAGCACCGGUGGACCUUGCUGCCGCCGUCGUGCUGAGCCGUCGCAUUCUGCAUCGUUGUACACCAAAGAAAGAGAGAGAAAGAUCGGGUAGGAAUCAGGGGACCGAAGGCGGAGGGAGUGCGGCAGGGGAAGCCAUCGCCGCCAGUCACCGUCGCAAGGCUCUGCUGCAUCCCCACCGCGCUUGGGUGUUGUUGAAGCCACACCUACUGCCGCUGCUACUAGGGUCUGCCGCCGUCUUGUCCCUGGAGCCUGAGCCGCGCAUCUGUCACCGAACCAGAGGAGCUCAUCCUUGCUGAGUCGCCGCCAUCUUGCCUCUGCCGGCGAGCACGAAGAGAGAGGGAGACGGGAGUUUGCACAGCAGAGAGAGGGAGAGCGCGACAGGGGAGACCAUCGCCGCCUGGGUCGCCGUCGCCGGGCCUCCUUGUCGUCGCCAGUUCUGCUUGUUCUAUCGCCGGGAAACUCGUCGCUGUGGGGGUCUCACUGCCGCCGUCCUUGUUGUGGCUGGUGUCGUCACCGCGGAAGCCACCUGCGUCACCGCUGGAGGAAGGGAGAUCCGCGCCGUUGCUGCGAUUUAUGCCGCCGGAAUUGCUCUGCCGCUGCCAGAAUUUCUGGUCGCUGCCGUUCUGGUGAGCUUGCUCUGUUACUGGUUCUUAGUUUCGCCAAUUCAAUUUGUUUGAAGCUGUCACUGAAACUAUUGUGUUUAAUAAAGGGGCUGUCAUAUGUUACGUUGUCGCUGCCGGAGGACCUGCGGCUCUACAUUUUCGACCGCCGGUGGUGGCGCGGGUGUUGCUGGAAACACCAUCGGAACUGCCGCUACUCGGUGUAGUUGUUCUUCCCUUGUUGCGAUAAGCAGGCUCAUUUCGAAAAGCCCUUUUUAGUCAGUAUUUUUGUUUCGAAAGCCCUGCAUUAGUGUUCAAUUCCGUGUAAUAAAGUGUUUAUGAUGUUGACGGUUCUAGGGAUUAGAAUCCGAGUUUACUUGUGGCGUUGAGGUUGUCCUGGGUCGCGUCGCCGGGCCUCCUUGUCGUCGCCAGUUCUGCUUGUUCUAUCGCCGGGAAACUCGUCGCUGUGGGGGUCUCACUGCCGCCGUCCUUGUUGUGGCUGGUGUCGUCACCGCGGAAGCCACCUGCGUCACCGCUGGAGGAAGGGAGAUCCGCGCCGUUGCUGCGAUUUAUGCCGCCGGAAUUGCUCUGCCGCUGCCAGAAUUUCUGGUCGCUGCCGUUCUGGUGAGCUUGCUCUGUUACUGGUUCUUAGUUUCGCCAAUUCAAUUUGUUUGAAGCUGUCACUGAAACUAUUGUGUUUAAUAAAGGGGCUGUCAUAUGUUACGUUGUCGCUGCCGGAGGACCUGCGGCUCUACAUUUUCGACCGCCGGUGGUGGCGCGGGUGUUGCUGGAAACACCAUCGGAACUGCUGCUACUCAGUGUAGUUGUUCUUCCCUUGUUGCGGUAAGCAGGCUCAUUUCGAAAAGCCCAUUUUAGUCAGUAUUUCUGUUUUGAAAGCCCUGCAUUAGUGUUCAAUUCCGUGUAAUAAAGUGUUUAUGAUGUUGACGGUUCUAGGGAUUAGAAUCCGAGUUUACUUGUGGCGUUGAGGUUGUUUCUUCUAUUGAAGAAAACACGCGGAGCUGAGGAUUUGGUUGCCGUCAGUUCGGGUUGAGGCGGAAAUUGACUUGAUGAGGCGUUUGGACUAUGGAAUUGCGUUUUGAGGUAGGGGCGCUUUCCAAAAACUGUGUUUCAUGUAUUGGAAUUAUUACAUAUGGAUACUGGUGCGAGAUAUUGUGUAUUUGGUGAUUGUAUCUGCCUUAUGUAUUAUUUGAUUGACUCGAAUGACUAUGGAUGUUGGUUUGGCUGAAUUGUGGUGCGN
Molecule: long non-coding RNA, 2066 nt
Filed under: Arachis ipaensis
Lineage: Eukaryota; Viridiplantae; Streptophyta; Magnoliopsida; Fabales; Fabaceae
Description: long non-coding RNA (AIPA_LNC001921)
Source: RNAcentral